Molecule: ribosomal RNA, 446 nt
Filed under: uncultured bacterium
Lineage: Bacteria
Description: partial 16S ribosomal RNA
Rfam family: Bacterial small subunit ribosomal RNA
Source: RNAcentral
UCCCAGACUCCUACGGGAGGCAGCAGUGGGGGAUAUUGCACAAUGGGGGGAACCCUGAUGCAGCGACGCCGCGUGGGUGAAGAAGCGCCUCGGCGCGUAAAGCCCUGUCAGCAGGGAAGAAAAUGACGGUACCUGAAGAAGAAGCCCCGGCUAACUACGUGCCAGCAGCCGCGGUAAUACGUAGGGGGCAAGCGUUAUCCGGAUUUACUGGGUGUAAAGGGGGCGCAGACGGCGAUGCAAGCCAGGAGUGAAAGCCCGGGGCCCAACCCCGGGACUGCUCUUGGAACUGCGUGGCUGGAGUGCAGGAGGGGCAGGCGGAAUUCCUGGUGUAGCGGUGAAAUGCGUAGAUAUCAGGAGGAACACCAGUGGCGAAGGCGGCUUGCUGGACUGAAACUGACGCUGAGGCUCGAAAGCGUGGGGAGCAAACAGGAUUAGAUACCCCUGUA